CACGUUGAAAUACCGGUUCCUGUACGAUCACUGAAGUUAAGCAACAUCGAGCCUGGUCAGUACCUUCAUGAGUAAUCGUUUGGAAACGCCAGAUGCUGUAA
Molecule: non-coding RNA, 101 nt
Organism: Acanthosepion pharaonis
Lineage: Eukaryota; Metazoa; Mollusca; Cephalopoda; Sepiida; Sepiidae
Source: the annotation of a GenBank genome assembly